AGCCAGCUGACGAGUCUCAGAUAAGAAGAAACGCGCAUCCUGGAU
RNAcentral lists this non-coding RNA (45 nucleotides) under Schistosoma curassoni. Lineage: Eukaryota; Metazoa; Platyhelminthes; Trematoda; Strigeidida; Schistosomatidae. The record is from RNAcentral.